RNAcentral lists this ribosomal RNA (254 nucleotides) under uncultured bacterium. Its description in RNAcentral is "partial 16S ribosomal RNA". It matches the Rfam family "Bacterial small subunit ribosomal RNA", at positions 524 to 776 of the family's 1533-position model. The record is from RNAcentral.
GACAGAGGUGCCGAGCGUUAGGCGGAAUCACUGGGCUUAAAGCGCGUGUAGGUGGCGAUGUAAGUCGGGUGUGAAAUCCCUCAGCUUAACUGAGGAAGUGCACUCGAUACUGUGUCGCUUGAGUGUUGGAGGGGAUGGCGGAAUUCCCGGUGUGAGAGGUGAAAUUCGUAGAUAUCGGGAGGAACACCUGUGGCGAAGGCGGCCAUCUGGACAACUACUGACACUGAGACGCGAAAGCGUGGGUAGCAAACAGG